Long non-coding RNA from Micropterus dolomieu (smallmouth bass), 1368 nucleotides. RefSeq lists it as uncharacterized. The record is from RefSeq and is a predicted model, not a curated record. The transcript has 2 exons. Lineage: Eukaryota; Metazoa; Chordata; Actinopteri; Centrarchiformes; Centrarchidae.
UGAUAACACCAACAAUAAGGCUGAAACAGGAACGUGGUGGAGUGACCAUUAACCGAGGACCCGGUGUGAGUGGCGCCGGCCGGGAAAUGGAUGAGGCUCCUUCGGCACGGGAGAGAAACAGGCUUGGGAUAAACACGAUCUGGCUUUUUCAUCUUGCACCACUAUAAACCCCACUUGGACCAGGAGCAGGACUGGAUGCCUGAGGCAGACCCAGGAGAGGAAACAGUAUCCUAUUGUGCAUUACAAAGAAGUCUACAGGGAGCUCCGGAGAUCUAUUUUUCCCCAGUAUGAUUCAUAGACAGUUUUUGUUGGUGUUCAUUUCUAGUGCCAGUCUGUUGACAUGUCCGUUCUUACACUGAGAUCUUGGUCAUCUGAUGCACUUCUAAUGCAAGAGAUUGACCUGCUGUGUCAUUCUUAGAGGAGCUGACCGUGACUCGGUGGUUCUUCUCAUUGGUCUCUUCCUGAGUCUCCCCGAGUUUCUGGUUCGUUUUCUGUCUCUCUCUUUGCAAAGAGCUGUAACUCAAGGUUUUAAAGGAUAACAGUAUCGGCUCUAAUAUGGGCCUUUGGAAAUAUCUCAAACGUAUCAAUUUAUAGACUAAAAAUAUGCUCUGUUUGUAGCACAUAAUAGUUUUUGUAGUCAGUAAAAUGUAGUAGUUUGUGCAAAUAAAUCCCUUCUCAGUGUGUGUGAUAAAACAGUUGGGUAUUCGGUCUCCCAUUAAAUAACCAAAAAUUGAGAUGAUGUUUAUCAAACAUUCUUUUAUGGAAUUUGAACACCACGCCUAAGCUUGGUAGUGUUUCAACACAGUACUGUAACUGCAGAGGUUUACAUAGGCAAGAAAACGUUUAUAGUGUGUGCCUCAGAAAUGUAGUUCUCCCUAUCAAAUAGCCAUGAGAAGGGCAGAUCUGUAACUGAAAGAGGAAUUUGUUUUCCUUCUUAAUCGCAGCUAGAACAAAAGCAAAUAGGGUAUUUAACUAACUGCCUGCGUGGCAUUGUUUUCUGUCUUUGUCCAUUCUUCCCGGGUAAUAUUAAUACCAUACCUUGUCUCAUGUCCAUGUUUCUUUAUAUUCAUUGAAAUGUGCUUUGUCUAGAUGAUGGAUCUGUAAGGACAGUAUCCACUAAAAUAUGUGCUAUAAUAAUAUAAAAGCAAAGCAAUGAGUCUGUUAAGCUGUCUGGCAAGAAACUUUGUCUAAUGGAAAACUAAUAUUUCAUUGUAUUCCUUCACACAAAUCCAAUGUGCCUACUGAAAGAGUGAGCCAAUUUUAUGGAUAGCAUUAGAAUAAUUUAGUUGGUAAAAUACAUGCAAGAGAGUCAGAUGUCGGGUUCACCCACAUCAUGCAAAUCAAUCAUUAAAGAAAAUGUUAAAAAGU